Molecule: transfer RNA, 71 nt
Filed under: Dokdonia pacifica
Lineage: Bacteria; Pseudomonadati; Bacteroidota; Flavobacteriia; Flavobacteriales; Flavobacteriaceae
Description: tRNA_Lys_TTT
Rfam family: tRNA
About the family: Transfer RNA (tRNA) molecules are approximately 80 nucleotides in length. Their secondary structure includes four short double-helical elements and three loops (D, anti-codon, and T loops).
Source: RNAcentral
UGUUUUUUAGCUCAGCUGGUAGAGCAGUAGAUAUUUAAUCUACAGGACAGCAGUUCAAUCUGCAACAAUCA